Zea mays is the source of this 161-nucleotide non-coding RNA. NCBI's taxonomy places the organism in Eukaryota, Viridiplantae, Streptophyta, Magnoliopsida, Poales, Poaceae. The record is from Rfam.
AUACUUACCUGGAUGGGGUCUAUGGCUGACCAAGUAGAGUCUUUGCCUAGGCUAGUGGCCUCCAUUGCACUUGGGAGGAGCAUUAGUCUACCAUCUCCUCAAGUAGGAGAGCGGACAUCAUAAUUUGUGGUAGAGGGGAUACACAUUCGUGCGGCCCCUAC